AUCUUUACACGUGACAACCAUCUUCUGAAUAAUUUUCUUGAUAUUCUUAUUAGCGGCUUCAAUAGCCCCAUUCAUCUUGGGUCUGUAAGGAGAAGAAUUAUGAUCUGCGAUCUUGAACUCGCUACACAGCUCUUUCAUCAUCUUGUUGUUCAAGUUAGAUCCAUUAUCAGUAAUGAUCUUAUCUGGCACACCAUAUCGGCAUAUGAGUGAUUCUUGAUAAACUUCAUCACUACCUGCCUGGUCACGUUUGCAUAUGACGCUGCUUCAACCCAUUUGGUGAAGUAAUCAAUUGCUACGAGAAUGAAUCUGUGACCAUUAGACGCUUUUGGCUCUAUCAUGCCAAUCAUGUCGAUUCCCCACAUGGAGAAGGGCCAUGGUGAUGAAAUCACAUUCAGAAGUGUCGGGGGGGAAUAUGAAUCUUAAUCGCGAAUCUUGACACUUAUGGCAUUUCUUCACAUAUUUGCAACAGUCAGACUCCAUUGUCAGCCAAUAGUAGCCUGCUCUCAACAUCUUUCUAGCCAUGGCAUGUCCAUUGGAAUGUGUACCAAAUAAACCCUCAUGAACCUCAGUCAUUAACAGGUCUGCUUCGUGUCUAUCCACGCAUCUGAGCAGCACCAUGUCAAAAUUUCUCUUAUAAAGCACAUCACCAUUGAGGUAGAAACUGCCUGAUAAUCUCCUCAGAGUCUUCCUAUCUUUCACAGAUGCCCCAGGCGGGUAAAUUUGGUUAUGAAGGAAACACUUGAUGUCAUAAUACCAUGGCUUAUCAUCUUGUACCUCCUCUACUACAAAUACAUGAGCUGGUCUGUCCAAGCGCAUCACAGUGAUAUUGGGAACUUUAUUCCAAAGUCUUACCACAAUCAUCGAAGCAAGUGUAGCAAGAGCACCUGCCAUCUGAUUCUCAUCUCGAGGAAUAUGAUAGAAGUCAACCUCAGUAAAGAACGUUGAAAUCCUCCUCGCAUAAUCCCUAUAUGGAAUGAGGCCAGGCUGAUUCGUUUUCUAUUCACCCUUAAUCUGAUUAACAACGAGGGCCGAAUCACCAUAAACAACAAGAUGCUUGAUCCUAAGAUCAAUGCACUCCUCCAAUCCCAUAAUACAGGCUUCAUACUCAGCCAUAUUAUUCGUGCAUUUGAAAGUUAGCCUUGCUGUAAAAGGAAAAUGUGUGCCCUGAGGAGUAAUAAUCACUGCCCCAAUACCAUUUCCGUAUUGAUUUACAACACCAUCAAAUACCAUACUCCAUCUGGAACCAGGCUCUGGUCCUUUAUCAAGCGUAGGUUCAUCACAAUAUUUCAUUUUCAAAUACAGAAUCUCCUCAUCCGGGAAGUCAUACUGAACUGAUUGAUGGUCCAUAAUUGGCUGAUGUGCUAAGUGGUCAGCCAAAAUACUACCCUUAAUAGCCUUCUGAGCACGAUACUCAAUAUCAUACUCAGAUAACAACAUCUGCCAACGGGCAAUUCUCCCAGUUAGAGCAGGCUUCUCGAAGAUAUACUUGAUUGGAUCCAUUUUGGAUAUCAACCAAGUCGUAUGAUUCAACAUAUACUGGCGUAAGCGCUUAGCAGCCCAAGCCAAAGCACAACAUGUUUUCUCAAACUUGAUUGGAUCCAUUUUGGAUAUCAACCAAGUCGUAUGAUUCAACAUAUACUGGCGUAAGCGCUUAGCAGCCCAAGCCAAAGCACAACAUGUUUUCUCAAGCAUUGAGUAUCGAGACUCACAAUCCGUAAACUUCUUACUCAAAUAGUAGAUGGCAUACUCUUUCUUUCUUGAUUCGUCCUGCUGACCAAGGACAGAACCCAUUGAGUCUUCAAGAACAGUCAGAUACAUAAUAAAUGGUCUUCCUUCCUUAGGCGGAGACAGGAUCGGAGGCUCAGACAAAUACUCUUUAAUACUAUCAAAAGCUUUCUGGCAAUCCUCAGUCCAAUCAUGGGACUGAUCUUUCCGGAGGAGCUUGAAUAUCGGCACACAUGUGGCAGUCAUGUGGGAUAUGAAUCUGGAAAUGUAAUUCAAGCGGUCAAGAAAACCUCGGACUUGCUUCUCAGUUUUGGGCGUAGGCAUCUCUUGUAUCGCUUUGACCUUUGCAGGAUCAACCUUAAUACCUCUUUCACUAACGAUAAAGCCCAAUAGCUUGCCAGAACGGACUCCAAAUGUACACUUGUUGGGAUUCAGACGAAGCAUGUACUUCCGCAAACGCCGAAACAGCUUCAACAAGUGCUCUACAUGUUCAACUUCCGUUCUUGACUUCGCAAUCAUAUCAUCAACAUACACCUCGAUCUCCUUAUGCAUCAUAUCAUGAAAUAAGGUAGUCAUAGCUCGUUGAUACGUGGCUCCAGCGUUCUUCAAACCGAAGGGCAUCACUCGAUAACAGAAUGUUCCCCAAGGUGUGAUGAAUGUUGUCUUCUCCAUAUCCUCGGGUGCCAUUUACCAGCGUUCUUCAAACCGAAGGGCAUCACUCGAUAACAGAAUGUUCCCCAAGGUGUGAUGAAUGUUGUCUUCUCCAUAUCCUCGGGUGCCAUUUUAAUCUGAUUAUAUCCGGAAAAUCCAUCCAUAAGUGAGAAGACCUUGAAUUUAGCUAUAUUAUCUACCAACAUAUCAAUAUGUGGUAGAGGGAAAUCAUCUUUCGGACUAGCUUUAUUCAAGUCUCUAUAGUCCACACACAUCCAGACUUUUCCAUCUUUCUUAGGUACGAGCACAAUAUUGGCCACCCAUUGAGGAUAUGUAGAAGUCACCAGAAACCCCGCGUCAAUUUGCUUCUGAACUUCCUCCUUGAUUUUUACUGCCAUAUCGGGAUGUGUUCUUCUGAGCUUUUGCUUCACAGGCACACACUCAGGCUUCAAAGGCAGGAAAUGUUGCACGAUAUCUGUAUCCAGACCAGGCAUGUCUUCAUAUGACCAGGCAAAGACGUCAACAUAUUCUCGUAGCAAUUCAAUCAACCCCUUCUUAACAGACUCUUCCAGGAGUGCCCCAAUCUUUACUUCUCGCGCACAAUCUUCAGACCCCAAGUUGACUGUUUCCAGAUUCUCAAGAUGCGGCUGAAUGAUCUUCUCUUCAUGCUCAAGUAGACGGGUAAUCUCGUCAGGAAUCUCUUCAACAUCAUCUUAUGCGUAUCGUACUUUUACCUUAAUCUUCUUUACGUUUCAAUACUGUUUUGCAAAUUCUGUUAGUGUGUGGUGAUUGAUUAUAUUUCUGGACAGCAGUGAUAACAAAACCUUGAGUCAUACACCAUUGCUGUUUAUCAUCAAACACUCACACACCAACUGUUUGACAAAACGGUUAACUUGAUUGUGUUCAUUGGAAAUAGUAUUUGAGGAUAAGCGCAUUCAAUCUGUUAAAGUUCUGUGUGUAUUAUUUUUGUCAUUCUCACUAAAAUCCAGCAACUGCACUUGCGUGUCCGGCUUUCUAGUAGUAGUUCAGAAUAGACAGAAGUCGAUUCGGGACUGCUUUUUCCGCUGUUUUUGAAAACUCUGAUUAAACGUUAAAUCCGUUAUUUUUUUAAGAGGUGAUCUAUUCACCCCCCCUCUCGAUCACUAGCCACACCGUCUAACAGAAAUCCUCCUCGCAUAAUCCCUAUAUGGAAUGAGGCCUGGCUGAUUCGUUUCCCAUUCACCCUUAAUCUGAUUAACAACGAGGGCCGAAUCACCAUAAACAUCAAGAUGCUUGAUCCUAAGAUCAAUGCAUUCCUCCAAUCCCAUAAUACAAGCUUCAUACUCAACCAUAUUAUUUGUGCAUUUGAAAGUUAGCCUUGCUGUAAAAGGAAAAUGUGUGCCCUGAGGAGUAAUAAUCACUGCCCCAAUACCAUUUCCAUAUUGAUUUACAGCGCCGUCAAAUACCAUGCUCCAUCUGGAACCAGGCUCUGGCCCUUCAUCGAGCGUAGGCUCAUCACGAUCUUUCAUUUUCAAAUACAGAAUCUCUUCAUCUGGGAAAUCAUACUGAACUGACUGAUAAUCCUCAAUCGGCUGAUGUGCCAAGUGGUCAGCCAAGAUACUACCUUUAAUAGCCUUCUAAGCUUGAUACUCAAUAUCAUACUCAGAUAACAACAUCUGUCAACGGGCAAUUCUCCCUGUUAAAGCAGGCUUCUCGAAGAUAUACUUGAUUGGAUCCAUUCUGGAUAUCAACCAAGUCGUAUGAUUCAACAUAUACUAGCGUAAGCGCUUAGCAGCCCAAGCCAAAGCACAUCAUGUUUUCUCAAGCAUUGAGUAUCGAGACUCACAAUCAGUAAACUUCUUACUCAAAUAGUAAAUGGCAUACUCUUUCUUCCCUGAUUCAUCUUGCUGACCAAGGACACAACCCAUGGAAUCAUCAAGCACCGUCAGAUACAUAAUCAAUGGUCUUCCUUCUACAGGCGGAGACAGGAGUGGAGGCUCAGACAAAUACUCUUUAAUUCUGUCAAAAGCUUUCUGGCAAUCCUCGGUCCAAUCAUGGGACUGAUCUUUCCGGAGGAGCUUGAAUAUCGGCGCACAUGUGGCAGUCAUGUGGGAUAUGAAUCUGGAAAUGUAAUUCAAGCGGCCAAGAAAACCUCGGACUUGCUUCUCAGUUUUGGGCGCAAGCAUCUCUUGUAUUGCUUUGACCUUUGCAGGAUCAACCUCAAUACCUCUUUCACUAACGAUAAAGCCCAAUAGCUUGCCGGAACGGACUCCAAAUGUACACUUGUUGGGAUUCAGACGAAGCUUGUACUUCCUCAAACGCUGAAAAAGUUUCAACAGGUGUUCUACAUGUUCAACUUCCGUUCUUGACUUAGCAAUCAUAUCAUCAACAUAUACCUCGAUCUCCUUAUGCAUCAUAUCAUGAAACAAAGUAGUCAUAGCUCGUUGAUACGUGGCGCCGGCGUUCUUCAAACCGAAAGGCAUCACUCGAUAACAGAAUGUUCCCCAAGGUGUGAUGAAUGUUGUCUUCUCCAUAUCCUCGGGUGCCAUUUUAAUCUGAUUAUAUCCGGAAAAUCCAUCCAUAAAUGAGAAGAUCUUGAAUUUAGUUGUAUUAUCUACCAACAUAUCAAUAUGUGGUAGAGGAAAAUCAUCUUUCGGACUAGCUUUAUUCAAGUCUCUAUAGUCCACACACAUCCGGACUUUUCCAUCUUUCUUAGGCACGGGCACAAUAUUGGCCACCCAUUGAGGAUAUGUAGAAGUCACCAGAAACCCCACAUCAAUUUGCUUCUGAACUUCCUCUUUGAUCUUCACUGUCAUAUCAGGAUGAGUUCUUCUGAGCUUCUGCUUCACAGGCACGCACUCAGGUUUCAAAGGUAGGAAAUGUUGCACAAUAUCAGUAUCUAGACCAGGCAUGUCUUCAUAUGACCAAGCGAAGAUGUCAAUAUAUUCUCGUAGCAACUCAAUCAACCCCUUCUUAACAGACUCUUCCAGGAGUGCCCCAAUCUUUACUUCUCGUACACAAUCUUCAGACCCCAAAUUGACUGUUUCUAGAUUCUCAAGAUGCGGCUGAAUGAUCUUCUCUUCAUGCUCAAGUAGACGGGUAAUCUCGUCAGGAACAUCUUCAACAUCAUCUUCUUCCGCCUCAAAUACAGGGAAUUCAAAGUUGGGAGAUGGUGUUGGAUCAUUAUGUUCAAUGGGUUUGAUCAACCUGUAUAAUGAUUUUGGAUAUAAAGAGCUUUUAGAAUUCAAGCAAGGCAAAUCAUUAUGCAGAUGAAAAGAUUGAUUUUAUUUUAUCUUUAAAGGGUUUUAUGUGAUCACCAAUUUCAUGCAAAAAGCGAAAAGGGAAAAUGAUUGGAAAAACAAACAUUUAACAUGAAUUUAUUGAAUGAAAGUAUCAUUGUAUUUAUGCGCCAACAAUGUCAUCACUUCUCCUUUUGGCAUGGGAGAAGGGUUUUCAAACACAAUGAACAUUACUUUGACUUAUGGAUAAUUGUUGGAAUAUCCACAGCGACCCAAUUAUUGCAGAUCCCUCCAGGGAUAAUGAAAUUGCCAGAAUCCUCUUCAUCUUCUUCCAAAAUGGCAGCAUCCUCUUCAUCUUGACCAGUGUGGAUGAAACCCCCACUCUUGAACAAACCUUGUUUUUUGAAGACCCCAUAAGAAUAGCCUAUGCCAGCCCGGGACUUGUUGUCUUCUAACUCAAUCAUUUGUCCUAAAUCGGCAGUUGCACCAUGCUCAAUGGCCAACUUUGCAUCUUUGUAGGAAGCAAAUGAAGAAGUUCUCUUCUCAACAGGUUCAGCAAUAGAUAAAGCUUGGAACGGAGUUCCAACUUCAUCCUCAGCAUCUAUAUAUGAUAAGGAAGACAAAUGGCUAACCAGGAGAGCCUUUUCUCCCCCUACCACCACCAGCUUCUUAUUCUUUACAAAUUUCAGUUUCUGGUGUAGGAUGGAUGUCACGGCGCCUGCCUCGUGAAUCCAUGGUCUGCCUAAGAGACAACUAUACGAUGGGUGAAUGUCCAUAACCUGGAAGGUAAUUUGGAAAUCACUUGGUCUGAUUUUGACUGGGAGAUCAACCUCACCAAUCACAGUUUUGCGAGACCCAUCGAAAGCCUUCACAACUACCCCACUCUACCUCAUGGGAGGCCCUUGAUAUGACAACUUCGCGAGAGUGGUCUUCGGUAAUACAUUCAACGAUGACCCAGUGUCUACCAACACAUUGGACAUGGCGUCAUCUUUGCAGCUCAUAGAUAUAUGUAAUGCCAAGUUAUGGUCUCUUCCCUCCUCGGGGAGAUCAGCGUCACAAAAACUCAGGUUGUUACAUUUGCAGCUCAUAGAUAUAUGUAAUGCCAAGUUAUGGUCUCUUCCCUCCUCGGGGAGAUCAGCGUCACAAAAACUCAGGUUGUUACAAGCGGUGAUGUUUGCAACAAUGCUAUCAAAUUGUUCUAGCAUGACAUUGUGAUCUACGUACGCCACAUCCAACACCUUUUGCAGAGCUUCUCGGUGUGGUUCUGAAUUCAAUAGUAGUGAUAACACAGAUAUUUUGGAUGGCGUUUGUAGAAGCUGGUCUACAACAUUGUACUCGCUUCUCUUGAUGAGCCUCAGCAUCUGAUCACAAUCUUCUUACGUAUUUCCACUCGGGCCAGCAGAAGCAGGAGUUUUCAAUAUGGAGGAGGGCUUAGCAACAAGUUCCGGAUUUGGAGUGCUCACAGCAUUCCCAAUCGGGCGUUCGACAAAAUCAGCAUCAACACUUCCUCGAGCAUAAACUUGAGGCUUUAACGGAGCUGAAAAUACACGACCGCCGCGGGUCAAACCGCUGACGUCAACAAUGUUUAUGACAGAUGAAGAAGGCAGGGACACUUCUUUCCCAUUUUCCACUGCUACAGCAUUAUAGCGAUAAGGAACCGCCUUCUCGGAGGAGUAUGGAACGGGUCCGGCUGGCUUAAUAGUUAGAGAGGGAGAAACCUUUUGCUUGCUACCAUCAUACUUGAUGACAACAGGCUCAGGUAUCCGGAAUACUGGAGAAAUUACGUUGACUUCGAGAUCAUCUUCGUCAACAUUUCUAUUUUGAAGGAUCUCAAUGACUCCUUCGUCCAACAUCUCUUGAACAUCCUUACGCACCUGGCGACAACCUCUCUGAUUGACAGAACAGACUCUGCAUCUAUCAUGGUCAUGCUCAUAAUGGCUAUAGUCACACAGCAAGCGAUGCAUCUCAACCAGCGAUUGCCGGAUAUGACUGACGUAUUUAACUUUGUACUUGCCAGGACAGCCCUGGACCAUAUUAACAGACUUCCCAUGCUCGGGCAAUGGGUUCUUCUUCACGUUCGGACCUACGUCCUCGAAAAACAGAAUCCCACUUCUCACAAGGUCUUGCACCUUGGUCUUCAGGGGAUAACUGUUCUCUACGUCAUGUCCGGGAGCACUGGAAUGAUAUACGCAAUGAAGCUCAGGCUUGUACCACCACUGGGGGUUAGCAGGUACAGCGGGAGGGUCUCGCGGAGUGAUUAACUUUCUAUCGAUCAGAGAUGGAUAGAGUUCAGCAUAAGUCAUCGGAAUUGGAUCAAAGGUGACCCUCUUCCUCUCAUAGCUGGUGCUGGCAUUGUUGUUGUUAUUUCGAGGCUGGUAGGCCUGCUGUUGUGGACGCUGUUGUUGUUGCUGAUAUUGCUGAGUUUGCGGUUGUUGAUAAUGUUGAGCUUCCCUGAAAACAGGUGCUAUAUGAGCCACCUGAUGCUGAUUAUUAACUGGGCGAGCAAUCUUCCUCUUCACAGAGGGUCUUCUCUUGACAUGGGAAGACACAGCAUGUGCCUCUCCCUCCUUCUUCUUUGCAAAGCUUCCAUAUCUCUUUGCUGAAGAGCCUUCCUCUCGAGUUAAGCAUCCUUCACGGACCCCUUCUUCCAAUCUCAUCCACCAUCUCGGUGAAGUCUGAGGGAGCAUUGGCUAUCAUUCUCUCGUAAUAGAACGAUCUCAAGGUCUUCAAGAAGAUCUUGGUCAUCUCUUUCUCCUCUAGGGGUGGCACUAUCUGAGCUGCCAAUUCGCGCCACCUCUGGGCGUAUUCUUUGAAAGUCUCUUUCUCUUUCUGGGACAUCGCCCUCAACUGGUCCCUAUCAGGAGCCAUAUCCAUAUUAUAUUUAUAUUGCUUGACGAAGGCCUCGCCAAGAUCGUUGAAAGAGCGGAUGUUCGAACUUUCCAGACCCAUGUACCACCGUAGAGCGGCACCGGACAGACUGUCUUGGAAAUAAAUGAAGAACACAGAGUUAGACCAUAGGACAAGAAGCCUGGAGCAAAACCUGCUUAUGCACAUGAUGCAUGCAAUGCUUGUGCAUAUGAUUUUUUUUUAUUUCAGAGGAACUUUAGAGUCCUAUUUGCAAAUUUGGGAAAUAUUACAUUUUUGUGUGGAAACAUUUCAUCAAUAAUAUCUGGAAUAUGUGUUUUUUACACCAAAGGAGUACAACAUCGGUAACCAAAUACAAGAGAAAAAGGAAAAUAAUCAUCCUAUGGAUCCCUAGAAACAAUCAUCUAAAGCUCGGGACACAGGAAGAUAAGAUGCACGAAGCCUCUUCACCUCCUCCUCAUAGGUUGCCUCCAUAUCUGCCUUCUCCUUGGCGAGUCGAUCGUACUUCCUCUUCCAGAACCUAGAAGACUGAGGAAGUUAUUUAUAUUAUAUAAAUGUAACCUUAGCGGAAGAUGCAAAGCGGAACUCCAUGCUAUUAUUGACAGUUUGCAGAGCGAGGUUUCGGUUGCUUUGCUGUUCUAGACAAGAGGUUCCUGAGAAACCUAAGAAAACGCUGGUGGUCCUUGCAGUUGUUGGUUUGUGUCACUUUUGACCCACCUAGGCAUACAUGAGUGAAACUAGCGGAGAGCUCUUAUUCUUGGUGUCAAGUUAAGAUGAUUACUGGUGACAACUUUCCAUGCAAAGGGCUGGGAGACUUGGGAUGAACUUACGGUACUCAUCUGCUACCUUGCUUGGAAAGAAAUGGAUAUGCACUUCCAGUUGAGAGUGAUGAGAGACAGAUGAUUGCUGGGUAUUUCAGAGCACAAUAUGAAGGCCGAUAUUGGAUCGUUGUGCCGAUGCUACGGAUGCCGCAAAGUUGUUUCUGUAUUGUCCUACGACUGAUUAAUGUUAUCUAGUGCAGUUUUAACCAGUAGGCUUUUUCAAAUGAUUGAAAACUACACAUCGUUGCGCUUUAUCUCCUGUAAAAUAUCUGAUAUUUCCUUGAGUGGAUUUCGUUUAAAUAUGGCUGCAGAUACGAGUGAUUUGGAAUUUGCAACCUUGCUAGGUGAACAGCUCGGAUAUAUUUAAAAUUCAAACUGCAUUGUUGCCCUUCGCUGCUAGGUUUUUUUAGAGUCAUGGUGAUUGUAGAUGCGGAGUCAUUUAUACAAAGGAGAUAAGGGGCCAUCUAGCUGUCACAAUGAAAAGUUAGCUAUGUGUUUGCUCUUUAAUGCACAAGAUCUCAAUUAGAUUACCAAAACCUUCGUGUUUGUGGAGAUUGUCACAUGCUGCAAAGUUAAUCUCCCAAAAUAGUUGAACGUGAAAUUGUGUUAAGACACUAUAGAUUCCACAUUUAGGAUGGUGUUGCUCUUGUUGAGAUGCUUCGGUAUUUAUGGUUGCAGUUCCAGAAUUUUGUGCUUUGAAUUGCUUUCCUUCACCAUCCACGUAGUCUCACUACAAUUAAUGGCAGCUUUGUCCAAGGAAGGUCCAUAUCAAAUUGCGAAAAACUUGAUGCUGUAGACUUAAAACUGACACAUAAAAAUUCUUUAGACAGUUCGAUUGGAGAUCCCAGGGUUCAAAGGAAGUUGACCGGUCUUAAUGAUCCCAGAACCUUAUUUUCCUGUUGAAUGAUGGUGCCAAAAGAUGUUCCGAUCAGUGAGUUGUUUGAACUUUCUUUGAGAUAUGUUGGAUAUGUUAAAGGAGUUUCUGAGAAGAACUUUGAAUGAAGACAAAGCUAGUAGCAUGAAUGCAAGUCUGGCAUUCUCACUUGAGCUGGCUAGUCUAGUACAAGGUCAGUCCAAUGGAAAACACAAGAGAAGAUUGAUCCAAGACAAGCUGGCGAAAUUGAUUGAUCUUAAGAUCGCCGCUAAUAGUUUGCGCCGCAUCAGUAUCAGCAGUAGUGGAUGUCAUGCGGUAUCUGCUACUGCUAUGGCUAUGAUGCAGCAGCAGACGAUGAUGGUAUCCACACAUUACAUGUUGUGUGCUCAUCCCAUCAUUAUCAGGCGCCGCUCAUUAACAUUAACCGUCGGCGUUGUAGCACAAAAGCACUCCAAGCCAUCGGUUUAAUUGUGCAAGUUUUGAGCUGCUAAGGCUGCUAAGGUUUGCGAAAGUGCUUGCUGCAUUGAAUGGAAUGACCGGUUAUUCUUGUCUCAACUGUGGAUGUGCUGAGCACACUACGUGAGCUCGAAAAGACCAACCUCAAUCCACGUCGGCUGGUUGCAAUACAAAUACCCAAAUAGUAAUUCUAAAAAACUUUCAGCUAAUAAGUUACAGUGUGAAAGUUUUUCUCACCAACAUAGUUAUUAUGAAGAGAAUGAGAAGGGGCCCAAGUUGGAUAUGGACAAAAUUCAAACCUCCACUGCACGCAGACCUCCCUACUCUGGGAACACCCAGACACAGCGAGAGGAGAUGAGUCAUAUAAGAGAGGCCACGGUUCUUUUGGGGAGAGAGCUGAAAAACCCUAAUUUGAGAGGAUUGGCGGCUACCAUUCAAAAAGAAGAGAGAGAUUGAAGGCACGUUUACCUACAUUGUCGGUCGAGCUCGCCGCAACCGUAGCUUCCUUUUCGAACUUUAUUCUAUGUUUUGAUUCUGCUUUGCAUCUUUCUGAGGUAACCAUGGUUGUUGUUCCAAUUUGAUUUCAUUUAGCAAUAUGUUGCCUGUUUGUGAUAAUAUCUUGCGCGUAACCUUUUGAUGUUCAAAUGGAAAAAUCUCUGUUCGUUAAGAUGAGCUGCUUGACAUCUGUACUGUUUUAACUUGUUGUUUUAUUUAAAGGCUUGGUCGGUUUGUUAUUAUUAUUGUGUUUGAAACUAUAUAACAAGGAUGUUACUGGUUGAGUGUAAAGAGGUGCUUUGGUAAACCUAGGUUCCGAGUUCAAUCCCUGGUUUCAGCAUUUCUCAUUUUAACUACUUUCUAUUUUUACUAGUUUUUAUUAUUUUACCAUUUUUAUUAUUAUUUUAAACAUUUAUUUUAUUUUAUUUUAUUUUUUUUCUCUUUUUAACACUCGUUAUUUUAAUGUUAACAUCGAUUUUUAAUUUAUGGAUUGACAUUCUCUUGUUAUUUAUCCACAAUUAUUUUUAUCGAUACAUUGAUGUAUUUCGCCGCGUUUCGAUUAAUCGCAUAUGCAUUUCAAUUAUUGUCAACAUGCGCAAACCGACUUGUGGCAUUAUUUAGGUUUUGUGUGUCCCUCAAUUUUUAUCCGUGCAAUCCCGAUUUUACCUUUUUCGAUUUAAUUUUUAAGUGUUUUCUAAUAUGUUGUUGUAUUUUUCUUCAUGCUUACUCUUGCCUUUACAUGAGGUUCUUGACUACACUUCACUUGUAACUUUUGUGCUUGCCGAUUAUUAUUCCAAUACUUUGAAUCCCCAUUUGACAAAAUGUAACACCCCCGAUGUUGUAAUAUUUACUGUUGAUUUCUUAUUGCUUGGUUGUUUAGUUAGCUACUACACAGAAUAAAAAUCAACAUUCCAAAGAUCAAAAAUAAGACUCGAUCCAAGUCGGUAUUUUUCCAAUAAACAAUAUCCAUUUCUUUAUCUCUUUCAUUUCUCUCAAACUUUUAAGCUUGAUCCAACGUCAAGCACAUUUCAUAAUAAACUCAAUAUUAAUUCAUAUUUAAGACCUUUUCAAUAAAGAUGGUGGAACUGUGUAUACGCGAUCUGGAUUCGGAUGUAUGUCUCGCUCUGCCAUCAUUCCUAUCCACUUUGUUUUCUCUCAAACUCAUUCAAUUUCUCUAUACGCAUCAACACUUAUCUAGCGUCAAGUCAUUUCACAAUAAAACUCAAGAAUACUUCUUUACACUUUUUCAUAAGGUGAAAUGGAACAUGGUGUAUACGUGCUCCUGAGUUAAGAUUCGGAGUAGUCUCUGCCUUCUUCUCGCCAUCAUUUAAGUCAUUGCCGGUUUUUCAAUUUUCAAUUUCAAACACUAUUUUAUUAAACCUUUUUUUCAAAUAAGUGGAAUGGGGACGUGGUGAUUUCCCGCGACUCCUGAGACUGGAUUCGAUGUAUAUCUCGCUCAUCCAACUCGCCUACUCAAACACAUCAACACAUCAAUUCUUUCUCGCCGCCGUGUGAUUAACCCUUCAAACAUUUCUCAAAUGAGGUACUUUGUUCAAAACAAUGCAGGCAAUGUUUCCACCUGUUUUGGGAGCCAACAAUGUUUUCGCAUUUGACACAAAGUAGCUUUCGCUAAAUCGCCAACAAAUUUCUACCAGGAAUGUAUGCCUUACUUUCUCUAUGCUGAUAGUAGGGCGGAUUGUAUCUUGGUCGAUAAAUAAAAUUAGGUUAGUCUCGUAAAAUCCAAAAUUCUCUUCUCUUUUUUCUUUCUCUUAAUUUUAUCAAGCCUAACAUUUCAUUAACCUAACCACACUAUACUGGUUCCCUUUGGUAUACGACCGGUGGUCAGUAAUCUUCCCCUUGUAAUCGACUCGAACCCUGUUGGUUGCGCGAUCGCCUUCAUUGUUCUUUUCUUUUGUUUUAUCGUAUAUUUCCCCUUGCCAGGAAUAAAAAAGGUCGUGGCGACUCUGUUCAGUCCAUAAUGUGAGCGUGCUGCGAUUGCAUCGUUACGACUGUAUCCGUACAUCACUAGUAGAUUAGAGAUGGUGGUGAGAGCGGGUGCUGUAAAUAUUUGAACGAUCUUGAGGGCAGUUAAUUGGCAUGGUGAUGCAAUUGCCAUGUGUUAGUUUUAGUUGCGGUGUAAUUUGUUUUAAACUGAAGCAGUUUGUUUUUCCUGCAACCAAUACUACAUUAAUAUGGUUUAAUGUGUUUUUAUUGUGAACAUCUUAGACGUGGGAAAUUAGAAUUUGGAAGUCUAAAAGUUUAGUUAGAAUGAAAAACUAAUAUAGUUUCCGUUUUCAAGUUCAUGGAACACUAGAUAAUAUACUUAAUUUUUUAGAGUAUUGUUUACAUUAAACUCUACAAGUUUUUUACAGGUUAUCAUAAGAGGGUAUCUUAUCUAUAUUGGUAUAUCACCACAUUGAAAUGUUUUAAGUAGCUUCGUAGAUGAGGCCCGAUCAAGCAUCAGUUUAAAGAUAUAUGUUAUUAUACUUAUUAUUAUUCUUCCUACGAUAAACUAGAGAGAAUCCAUUCAUUGUUUAACAUUUCAUAAAAUUUUACUCUUAAUAUAUAUAAUAUAUAUAUAUAUAUAUAUUUAUUAUAUUAUAUUAUAUAUUAUAUAUUAUAUUAUAUAAUAAAAAUAUAGUUAUAAUCGACAAUGUAAAAUUAGCUUUACAUUUUCAAUUUAUGACAUUCAAACAUCUUAAUCUCGUUUGCCUUUGUGUUAUCUUUCGUGUGGAUGUGGAAAAAAACACGUGAUACGGGAGCCACUCAAAUGGGUCUACCCAAAUCUCACAACAGAAGGCGGAUAUCGGAUACAAACCUACAAAUUCAAAGCACCCUCGUUACGAAUAUCGAUGCCAACGGUACUUCUUGGCCUCGCACCAACGUGACAGGCCUAUUUAUUAUGAGAUCUCUGCUUACACGAUGAUGAGAAAAUGUGGAUGUACUUCUUCCAGAAUUGUCUUAUCUUUGACGGGCUUCUUGACUUGGUACAUGACUAGAGAGACUCUAUCCGAUGUUGGAAAUUUAUCUGGCGUCGGGGGCCUUCUUGCAGGCCAGUAUAAAAACAACAUGGACAUGGCGCUGAGCCGGACUCAGUUGAGAUCUUUGUUCAGGAAAUUCUGGGGAAGAGCUUCAGGAGUAGCCAGAGUGGCGGUUGAAUUGGCUGCAAGAGUACAACCCCUAUGUGGAAGGGAAGCUAAGUAAUAUGUUUAUCGCUACAAACUGCAGGGUUUGUUUUCCUCACCGGUAAAGGGAGUGCCAUUCGCAGUUUCUCUAACACGUAAUGUCGAUAUAGUAGGAUAGGGACAGAGAGUUGAUCAAAAGCUGGUAAAAUUCAGGAGAAACAUGCAGAGGUCCUCGUCUUCGAAGAAACCAUUGUUGGGGGCACCUCGUAGGAGAGAGGGUGAAACCAAAGUGCUGGUGCAACAUGUAGAAGGAUAAACAGAUCAGGUACGCGCAGGUUGUGCUGUGACAAUUCCAGCACCUCAACCUCUCAACCCGAAUCGAGGCGAACACGAGGCGUUCAAACAACAACCGCCACAACAACAACANAUAUAUAUAUAUAUAUAUAUAUAUAUAUAUAUAUAUAUAAUAAGAAAAUGAAUGGUAUAUCGACAAUGUAAAUUAGCUUUACAUUUUCAAUUAAUAAUGAUCAUUUAACCCGCCACCUAUCUCGUUUGCUCCUUGAUGUUACCACCUUUCUUAACCUCCCUGUCUGUCAUGUCAAUAGAUCGAAAGGAAUAAUUUUAUUUUUAUAAUCUUUGAUUUCUUUAACAUAUCAAUUGGUGUGGAAUUAGAUCUUAAUUCAUAUUGAUCAAUUCGCAAGACCUAACUACUUAGAAUGUGUUCCUCAACACUUUGGUCAAUCUAAAACUCAUAAAUAAAGUGUGAGUUUCUUCUUCCUCCUCCAUUUGACCGUUUCAACUCCUUCUUUUUUUUAAUAAUAUUAAUGUUAUGUUUGGUCGUUCAAGGAAUGAUAGUUGAAGAAUUGAGUUUUUGCAGUAAGAAACACCUUUUAGCAUUUUCUAUUUAUUGAAGUAACAAUUCUCUUUCAAUUUCAUUAUGCAUUAUUAUGCCUUUUAUAUUUACCCUAUUUUAUUAGUUUUUGGCAUAAACUCAAGCAAAUUAAUUUUCCUACGUGUGUAGAAAGUAUUGGUUGAAUGCUGAAGUUAACAAUAUUCAAUGUGUGUAGCAAGUAUGAGUUAUAUGUGCAAGUCACAUUCUUUAUAUUAUAGCUUGCAAAGUGUUAUUAGGUUACAUCACCAUUUGAGAAAUUAAGUGUAGUGUUUGUAGACUUUAGCAUCCUUUUGAGUAGUUGUUUGGUGUUAAUCCUGCAUGCGUCUCAAUACAUGGCAUGUGUGAGCUUUAUGUUUGAAUUAUGGACAAAAUCAUUUUGCAGGAAAGAGAAGAAAAGUUUAGAGGAAUAUGGCCAAUACUUCUAGGUGCCCAAUCCCUUAGAGUCUUAUUUCUGUAUUUUGUAUAUCAUUGUCCUGUAUUCCAUGAAGUUGAUUAGAAAAAAAGUGAAAUAUAUUGGCAUUCUACUUAUCUAUUGUUAGCUAAAACAAUUUCACUGUUAUCAAGAAGUGGAAUGGUUUAUAUAUGAUCCAUGUGAUAUUGGCUUUUGUAAUAUUCUAUUAACAAUAUUUAAUAUUAUUGUGCUAUUUAAAUUUUUGUUAAGUAUAAUGAAAUGCCUAAUGCAUUAAAAAAAAUUAUUAGGACGAAUUAUUUUUACUAGUAUUUUAAUUUUCUCUUGUUUAUUAUGGAUUUGCCUUCAUUGUUUGGCAGGUGAUUAUUUUCUUGAGGAUAUUUAUUUUUAUUUUUCAUUGUUCUUUGUCCCACACAUCAAUAUUUAUCACGUGAUUAAUAUUAUUGUUAGAUUUUUUCAACAAAAAGUCAUGUUUUGAUUGAACCUUUCAAUUUUACAACAAGUAGCAUCCACCGUGGGAAAAUACACUACUACAAAAUAUACCUUUCUUAACACCAUAUUACCAAGGCCGUUUAAGCAACCGUUGUAAUAACUUAUCUUAACGCACCUGAAUUUUUUUAUAUUUUAUUCAAAGACAUUUCUUCACGGUUCAUAAUAACAACUGUGGUUAUAGAUGAAAGGUUACGUGCUUUGAAUCCCAGCACAAACAAUUUUUUUAUCAUUACAAAAAGAGUUUGUCCAUAUCGUCUUAUAAAUAUAUUAAAAUUAAAAUAUCUAUCACCCUGGUUAGUACCAGAAACCAUUGUGGAUAGUACUGACAGUUUAUCAUGGUUUUUCUUGCCAACGACGGUGAUAAGUUUUACAUAUAUAUAUAAGCAAAGUUAUAAAAUUCAGUCCUCUCGCUCAAAUUACAAAAUCCUAAUCUCUCUCUCUCUCUCUCUUCCACAUCCUGCGAAAUAGUCUCUCUUCUUCUUCCAUACAACUUGUCUUUCUUCUUCUUCGUACUAAAAGGUAAUCAAAUUAAACGUUGUUUCUUCUUUAUCUAAGUAUUUAAACGUUGUUUCUUCUUCUUCUAAAAGGUAAACAUGUUAUUCACGACAGAGCUACAUACACAACUAUGUAGGCCUAUGACCCACUAGAAUUAAAAAUUUAAUUAUAAUAUACUACCCAUGUGGUAAUAGUAAUGAUGGUGUAUAUUGCAUUAAAUACUUAGUUCAUUUCAAAAUUUAGUCCAAAAUAGUCUCUAGUAUUUUUGAUAAAAAAAAUUUAAUAGUCUGGAUAUUAUUAUCUUAUCUUUUUAAUUCUAUAUUUUUAGAAUUAAAGAAAAAUUAAUAAUCUAUGAACUAUCAAUUGAUUGGCGAGGAUAAAAUAUGUUAUAUAAUUAUAAGUAGAAAAUUAAGAAACCAUUAAUAAUUUUAAAUCAUUAAAAAAAAUUAAAAAAACAAAAUAAUAUUUAUUUAUAAAUAAUAUAUUAUACUUUUCUCGUAAUAAAUUUAUAAAUUUGCCCACACUAUUUAGAAUUCCUGGCUCCAUCCCUAGUUAUUCACACGUUUUCUUCCAUUUAGGUUUCACAUGAUUUUUUCGUAUUUUUUUAUACUUGGAUCUCUGUUUUUGAAAUUCUCAAUUCGUGUUACUGUUUUUAUUAUAUUGUUGUCUUAAUGGUUUUAACAAGUCGGAUCAAUUGUCCCAACUCUGUGUCCAACAUCUGUCCUAUGAGAAACAAAAUUUCACAUUUGAUACUUUCUCUCUAAGAUAAUGGAACCUCAUCUCAUUGUGUUUUCUUCUUCCGUAUCAUAUUGAUUCUUGGACAAAUUUAUAGCAGAAAUGUUAUCAAUCUUCAUGAUUACUGCUUCAUGAUUUUGACCUACAAUCUCUUUGAUCAAAUUUAUCAUUCAUGUUGCUUGACAUGCACAAAGAAAGGAAACUAUGUAAUCAGUCUCACAUGAUGACAAAGCUACAACUGGUUCUUUUCAUGAGCUCUAAGCAACUGGUGCACCACAUAGCAUAAACAUAUUUUCUAUCAUCAGCAUCACCAUACCAACACGGGUCAGUGUAUCCCACUAGCUUGCAUUCCUUUUCUUUUUAACAAUUUUUUUGAAGAAGUCAUUCUUAACACCUAGAUUUUAUUUUUAUUUUUCUUUAUUUUGACCAAUUUCUCUAGUACCCCAAUCCCAAGUAUAAAUGUUGAUAACUUACAAGAGCAACCCCAAAUUUAUUCUUUUGAAUUCUAUUAAUUGAUUGAUGAUUGUAUAUCAUGAAUCAUGGAUAUGAGAUAUUAAGGCUUUACAUUAGUUUAAAUUUAAUGAGUGUUUUAUACUUAUAGUUAUUGACUUUCUUAAAAUAAUAUAAUAUCUAAGAGGAAUACCAAAAUACUCUUGAUUUAUUUAUUCAUAGUAGAAAAGUGGAGAUAUAAUUAUAGUUAUAAGAUAACAUUGUUUUAUUCAUUGCUCCCUGUGAGAUAUAUCUCUUGAUAGCAUACAUACAUAGUAUAACUCUUGAUUUAUUUAUUCAUAGUAGAAAAGUGGAGAUAUAAUUAUAGUUAUAAGAUAACAUUGUUUUAUUCAUUGCUCCCUGUGAGAUAUAUCUCUUGAUAGCAUACAUACAUAGUAUUUUGUCCACUCAUUAAGAAGCAUUUCAAACUGAAGAUAGACGGUCUCUUGUUUCACGACUUCCUAUCUCCCUUUGUUGAGGUUGAGCAUCUGCAAAGUGAGAUUGUUUCUGAUUCUCUAGUAUCCUAUCAACCUCUUGAGCUGAUCCAGGGAAUGCAAGCUCUUUCACUGGCCGCUGUAUCUGACUAAUCACAUUAUCCUUAUCGCCUUCAAAUUUUCAAUCACCAAAAUAAUAAGCAUAUCUUAAUAUUUUCCCCCUUGAUUUAAAUAGAAAUUGACUUUUAAAAUACACACUUAAAAUGAAUAAAUAGUGACAGAGACUGGGUGAUAAUAUAAUAUACCUGCAAGAAAGUUCCUUUGAUUGUUCUCAGCAUUAAUACCAAACCCAAACAAAUCAAGAUUUGAGGAAGCUUUUACGGAAACUGGAUGGCCUGCUGGAAUUACAAAAACAUCUCCUGAAGACAAUUUAGCUUUGUAAUUUUGCACUUGUUUAUUUAUCUCCUCUUCUCCUUGUUCCUCUUCCUCGUCAUCUUCUUUUGUCUGCUCUUGUUGGUUUUCAUUUCUUUGACCCACAAGUUCAAAAUCUCCUUUUCCUUCGUUAACUGUUACUAUUACUAUGGCCCUUGAAUUGUAGUGUGGCAACAAUAGAGAUCCCUAAUAUUUAAUUUGAAAGAAUAAUUAAAUAAAUACGUUAGAUAUAUGUUCUAUAAAUAAAACAUGUUAUUGAGCAUGUAAAACUUGUUGUGUAUGAGAUGUCAAGUUAGUAACAAAAGUUUGACAUUAUAACUUCAAAGGACAAAAAUCAAAUCAUUUAGAACAAUUGUAAUUUGAUCAAGUGGAAUCUCAUUGUGUAAUUUGGUGAAUUUCCUAUAUUAUAAAAUAAUUUUAUCAUACCUCCUUAAUCUCUACAGAAUUGACAAAUAUAUCCAAGUCUUGAAGCUGUGGAUUUUCCUCUGGGGUGAUUUCAAAGAAUUUUCCAAACUCGUUGGAAUAGAUAGGACCGCGACUUCUCAAGUUGAAUGGUUCAGAUUCAGAGGAAACACUUUUUUUGGAGGUAGACUUUGCAUUUUUAACUCAAUUCCUCAUUUGUCCCUGAUAAUUUUACUAUUACAUUCUCUGCUUGACUUUGCUGCCUCUUUAUCCUUAAGGCUUCUUCUGUGUUGUGUCUCUUUCUCAUGCUCUUCUAAAAGAACCUUUUCUAUCUCUUCAUAAUCAGUCUAUAUUUUUUUACAGUACAUACAUUGACAAAGUGAGUAUUAACAUAUAUAAAACCAAACUAAUACAUAAAAAAAUGAAAAAAAUUGUGUGUUUUAUGCUUACAUUGAAGGAAGCCUCUAGAAUGUUCUUACUGAACCCAGAUAAGUAGGAUUGUUGGUUUUGAUUUCCAGACAAUAAGAAAGACUGUUGAAAAGGACAAAAAAAUGAGGAAAACAUUACAGAAAAAUAUGUACAGUCACAAUUUUUGUUGUGAUGUUAUGGUAGAGGCCCCUAAAUUUGUUUAUACAUUUGAGUGCAUACCAUAUUUGAUAUGAGAAGAUAUGAGAAUAGGUAAACAUUGGUUAUAUUACCUGAAGUUGGCCAGGUCUAUUUACGGGAAUGGCGAGAUCUAAUACUCUAAGCUCCUCGUUGUCAUCUCUGUUAACCAAAUAAGCAAUUGUGCCAGCAGGAAGUUUUACCGUAUCUCCGCGCUCAAGGUUGAAGGAGUUUCUGUCAUCGGGUUUCAACACUGUGAGUAUAGCUUUUCCUGGAAAUUACAAUGACAUUAGAUUUUAUAAAUGAAUUUAAUUUAUCCUUACAAAACAAAUAUGUAAAGUAAUAAGAGAAAUGCUAAUAAUACUCUCUUUUCAACACUCUCUCAAACACACACUCUUUCAUUUGUUGAAAUAUGUGUGGAUCUUACCACUUUAUGUGGGACCUAUUUCCAAAGCGAGGGGCCCACACAUGCUUCAACCAAUAAAAAAGUGAGUGUUUGAGAGAGUGUUGAAAAGAGAGUGUUACUAGCACUCCUCAAAAUAAUAAAUACCGUUCUUUUUGAAUGAACUAUGAGUGAUUAGUUUUAAAUAUUUAACUUGAUAAAUAAUAAAUUACCACUGAGUACAACAAGGAUGUAAUCGGCAUCGGUGUGCUGCGGAAGAAAUAUUGUGUGAGGUUUGGACUUAUAUUCCAAAAGACGGUAGUUUUGUAGAUUCUCGAACGAGAAGACAUGUUUGGACUGUAUAUUCCAAAAGGACGGUAGUUUUUGUAGAUUCUCGAAAAUUUUA
This 20401-nucleotide long non-coding RNA is filed under the name Lathyrus oleraceus (garden pea). RNAcentral describes it as "Pisum sativum (pea) long non-coding RNA (PSAT_LNC032503)". Lineage: Eukaryota; Viridiplantae; Streptophyta; Magnoliopsida; Fabales; Fabaceae. The record is from RNAcentral.